AGUGAACGCUGGCGGUAGGCCUAACACAUGCCAGUCGAACGGCAGCACAGUAAGAGCUUGCUCUUACGGGUGGCGAGUGGCGGACGGGUGAGGAAUACAUCGGAAUCUACUUUUUCGUGGGGGAUAACGUAGGGAAACUUACGCUAAUACCGCAUACGACCUACGGGUGAAAGCAGGGGAUCUUCGGACCUUGCGCGAUUGAAUGAGCCGAUGUCGGAUUAGCUAGUUGGCGGGGUAAAGGCCCACCAAGGCGACGAUCCGUAGCUGGUCUGAGAGGAUGAUCAGCCACACUGGAACUGAGACACGGUCCAGACUCCUACGGGAGGCAGCAGUGGGGAAUAUUGGACAAUGGGCGCAAGCCUUAUCCAGCCAUACCGCGUGGGUGAAGAAGGCCUUCGGGUUGUAAAGCCCUUUUGUUGGGAAAGAAAAGCAGCAGGUUAAUACCCCGCUGUUCUGACGGUACCCAAAGAAUAAGCACCGGCUAACUUCGUG
RNAcentral lists this ribosomal RNA (492 nucleotides) under uncultured bacterium. RNAcentral describes it as "partial 16S ribosomal RNA". It matches the Rfam family "Bacterial small subunit ribosomal RNA", at positions 29 to 507 of the family's 1533-position model. The record is from RNAcentral.